This 888-nucleotide ribosomal RNA is filed under the name uncultured bacterium. Its description in RNAcentral is "bacterial SSU rRNA". It matches the Rfam family "Bacterial small subunit ribosomal RNA", at positions 1 to 878 of the family's 1533-position model. The record is from RNAcentral.
ACAACGUAGUAAAAGUAUAUAAAGGAGCUGCGGCGUGCCUAAUACAUGCAAGUCGAGCGAAUGAAUUAAGAGCUUGCUCUUAUGAAGUUAGCGGCGGACGGGUGAGUAACACGUGGGUAACCUGCCCAUAAGACUGGGAUAACUCCGGGAAACCGGGGCUAAUACCGGAUAACAUUUUGAACCGCAUGGUUCGAAAUUGAAAGGCGGCUUCGGCUGUCACUUAUGGAUGGACCCGCGUCGCAUUAGCUAGUUGGUGAGGUAACGGCUCACCAAGGCAACGAUGCGUAGCCGACCUGAGAGGGUGAUCGGCCACACUGGGACUGAGACACGGCCCAGACCCCUACGGGAGGCAGCAGUAGGGAAUCUUCCGCAAUGGACGAAAGUCUGACGGAGCAACGCCGCGUGAGUGAUGAAGGCUUUCGGGUCGUAAAACUCUGUUGUUAGGGAAGAACAAGUGCUAGUUGAAUAAGCUGGCACCUUGACGGUACCUAACCAGAAAGCCACGGCUAACUACGUGCCAGCAGCCGCGGUAAUACGUAGGUGGCAAGCGUUAUCCGGAAUUAUUGGGCGUAAAGCGCGCGCAGGUGGUUUCUUAAGUCUGAUGUGAAAGCCCACGGCUCAACCGUGGAGGGUCAUUGGAAACUGGGAGACUUGAGUGCAGAAGAGGAAAGUGGAAUUCCAUGUGUAGCGGUGAAAUGCGUAGAGAUAUGGAGGAACACCAGUGGCGAAGGCGACUUUCUGGUCUGUAACUGACACUGAGGCGCGAAAGCGUGGGGAGCAAACAGGAUUAGAUACCCUGGUAGUCCACGCCGUAACGAUGAGUGCUAAGUGUUAGAGGGUUUCCGCCCUUUAGUGCUGAAGUUAACGCAUUAAGCACUCCGCCUGGGG